GGACUGCCCGGGGCCGCGCGCCGGGAACCUCGCGGGGCUGGCGGGCGCCGCACCCCCUCCCUGGCCGCCUGCGCCCCGGGGAGGCCGCCCGCGCGCGACGGGACCGGCAGCAUGAGCAGCGGCUACAGCAGCCUGGAGGAGGACGCCGAGGACUUCUUCUUCACCGCCAGGACCUCCUUCUUCAGGAGAGCGCCCCAGGGCAAGCCCCGCUCCGGCCAGCAACACGCCGUGGGAAGCACGAGUUGGGAAAAAAUGGGAAGGGAACUUGUGCCAGUUUCGCCAGCCGUAGCCGUGUUUUUUGGGAGGCCUUCCCGAAACGGGGCACGUCGGCUGGACUGAGGAGCCCGGUGCUAGAACCCGCGGCCUCCUGGCACUAGGAGCCGCACCAAGGAGCCGGGCCAACCCGGCCACGCUCACAUCAGAUUACAGAAGAU
This 434-nucleotide small RNA is filed under the name Pongo abelii (Sumatran orangutan). RNAcentral describes it as "processed transcript". The record is from RNAcentral. Lineage: Eukaryota; Metazoa; Chordata; Mammalia; Primates; Hominidae.